UUGAUUGAGAUAUGACAAAUUCAGGGACAAAGUGUGCGUUUCGAUAAAUUGGGGGACAUUUUUGUCCGAUUCGUGCAAAUUCAGGGACGAAUUUGGAUAUUCACUCUA
Molecule: microRNA precursor, 108 nt
Filed under: Medicago truncatula (barrel medic)
Lineage: Eukaryota; Viridiplantae; Streptophyta; Magnoliopsida; Fabales; Fabaceae
Description: miR2654 stem-loop (mtr-MIR2654)
Source: miRBase by way of RNAcentral